GUUAAAUCUAUAUAUACCAUUUUUAUGGUCGGGCGUCCACGGCUGAUUGGUAUAUCAAAUCAAACACAAGGGUGUAUAUCAUGCCCCUGAGUGUUCACGCCUCACUGGGUGGUCACGUAAUAAGGUGUGGCACCAGCAUCUCGGGUUACAAUUUGAUAUUAAUUCAAGUACUCCACUGAUAAUGUACAUAGGUAGUUAACUUAAUUACAUUCAGUUUUGUCCGACAAGGAGCGAGUUUACUUUUUUUUAGACACAGACUUUGUAACAGGCUCUUCCCCUGGAAACACAUAUAUUGUAAAUAAAUAUUUUGCCAUUUCCAUCAACCUUAUCACGUGAUGUUCUAUAACUGUUGUCUUGUACACUAUCCAUAGUGUAAGUCAGCUGGCUCGAGGAAUUUUCAUAUAGUAUUAUCAUUAAACAACAUACCCUAUGCAACAGUUAUGUUGCUACCCAGACAAAACUAUUUUUAUAUUCUAUGUUAAAUGUAAACGAUCAGUUUUUAUUAUAAAUACAAAACCACCUUUUAAGCGGUAAUACCUAUCACGCAUUGAACAACAUAUAUGAACAACCAUGUGAUUAUAAAGUCUCACGUUGGUUCCUCCGUGCAACUUCAUGCCUGACUUACAUUCAUAUUGUUCUUUCACCACACUUACGCUUCUCCAAAUUUAGAAAGAAGCUGUGUACACAGUGUUCUUGCGAGUUACAAUAACGCGUCCGGUUUGGCUGCAACUUCAAAGAGUGGACAUAUGGUUGCUCCUUCAGCCACAGCAAAGAUCCCGAACCACGUGCAGUCAGCAGAGUUACAGCGUCUGGUUACCGUCUUGCAGUUACGAUACAGAAUAUGUGCACAUAGCUUUCAAUGACCAGACGAAAAAAAGAAUUCAUUUCAAGUAUGUUGAGAAGAAAACGACCCAUCUCUGAAAAAAUCACCUCACCCAAGAAAAUACGACUCAUUCAUGAGAAUGAAAAGUGCAAAGUCUCCCAAGGAAUUGACUUGUAAUAUAGCAUGUGAAUAAAUAAUUUUUUGAAAUAUCUCACGAAAUUAGUUUU
Molecule: long non-coding RNA, 1050 nt
Organism: Haliotis rufescens (red abalone)
Lineage: Eukaryota; Metazoa; Mollusca; Gastropoda; Lepetellida; Haliotidae
Exons: 4
Source: RefSeq, a predicted model, not a curated record